RNAcentral lists this transfer RNA (93 nucleotides) under Candidatus Brocadiia bacterium. RNAcentral's name for it is "Candidatus Brocadiae bacterium (aquatic metagenome) tRNA-Ser". It matches the Rfam family "tRNA". Rfam says of the family: Transfer RNA (tRNA) molecules are approximately 80 nucleotides in length. Their secondary structure includes four short double-helical elements and three loops (D, anti-codon, and T loops). The record is from RNAcentral. Lineage: Bacteria; Pseudomonadati; Planctomycetota; Candidatus Brocadiia.
GGAGAGGUGUCCGAGUGGCUUAAGGAGCACGCUUGGAAAGCGUGUGGCCUCCCAAAAGGGGGCUCGGGGGUUCGAAUCCCCCCCUCUCCGCCA